AAAUCUGCAGUGUGGGUUAAAUCCCUAGGUGCUCUCCCGUAUCAAAUCUAGCCUGGCACUUCUUCCCCUACCUCCCUGCUGCUCCACCUCCGGCCGCCGCCGCGGCCAGGCCAGCAUGGCGGCGUGCCACCGAACCUGCUGCUGCCCUUCCUGCACUCCACCGGACAGCAGGCUGUGCCCUUCGUCGUCAACAACGUCUACAACUUCUCCACGCACGAUCUGCAGCAACUGAAGAACCAGCAGCCUCCGACGAGCUCGAUGACCACCUGCAGCUUCUUCCCCUUCUCCAACUCCUGCUGCACCUUCACCGUGGGUUAAUCCCCAUCCAAUUAUCUCUUUUAUCCCUAUUGCUUUCUGUUUGUGUGAACUGAAAUUGAGAGAUGUUGAACUUGUUUCCUACCGCCAAGUGUUUGAUGUAAUUCUCACAUGGAUGUGCUACGAAUUUCACUCUGUCCCUGUCUUCUUAUCUGCUAAUCUUAUCUAAUUAUUGACUUGUGCUGGAUUUGUGUGAGCUAUUGCAUCAUAGCUUGUAAUAAUUUCAUACUAGCGUUGUUCUUGUUUUAGCCCAAUAAACUGUGUUUUUAUGUGUAUGUGUUUGUAGCCAAUUCUUUCCCUUUCCCAAACAACUUGCUUCUAUCCCUUUCUUACAUGUUUGCUUGUGAUUAAUUUUUGUGCCUAAUAGUAAUUUCUGUCCGGUAUUGCUUGAUUAAAGAAAAUCACAAAAAAUAUUGUUUACUGCUAGAUUGUUGCUUUCUUUUAGAUUGAAUAUUAACCCUUGUGUUUGAUCGACCUAGAUUUAGUUGAAGCUCCAAUAGUGCCAACAAUUUGCCUCCUAAUUCUCCGACGAUCUGUUUGUUUCCUCUUUCUUGUUACUGGACAAGUAAAAUUCAUAGUAGAUGCGGCGGUUUCUCCGUUGUGUCUCAUCCUGUGUCAGAUAUGGAGGCGUUGAAGACGACCCAGCAAGCUCCCUCGCCCUCGUUCUGCUCCUUCAUGCCAGAUCUUCGCGGCAUCAACUGCUUGGAUCUGUUUGUGGGUGUGACAAGAGGCCGGCUGAAAUGUGGAUUUGGCACUUGUGUCGAUCCCUUGCUCCUGGUGGGCUUUCUCGCAGGACGCCUUCCAUCCUCCUCAGCGGCCAGUAGCAGGAUUGUUGGCUUUGGAUUCCAAAGCCUAUUGGAGAAGUGGAAGUUUGGAGGCUUCAAAUUUGAUGGUUGCUGUCCUUUGUCCAAGUUUCAGAAUCUGCGUUGCCAUCUUGUUGCCGUAAGCUUCGCAUGGAAAAACUCAGGCCAUGUAGAGCUAAUUUUGUGGUGCAAAGUUGGAGCAAUUGUGGUGGUUUGGAGGAGUUUGGAGGUGGUGGUGGUGCUUAUCCGGUGACUGUGACGCUGCUCGAGGUUCGGGUUCACACGCUUCAAGGGUACAAAAUGGAGAGAGUAUCAUUGCUAUCUCCGGAGAUUGAGAGUAAGC
Molecule: long non-coding RNA, 1461 nt
Organism: Brachypodium distachyon (stiff brome)
Lineage: Eukaryota; Viridiplantae; Streptophyta; Magnoliopsida; Poales; Poaceae
Exons: 3
Source: RefSeq, a predicted model, not a curated record